RNAcentral lists this long non-coding RNA (252 nucleotides) under Salmo salar (Atlantic salmon). RNAcentral's name for it is "lncRNA (ENSSSAG00000101431.1)". The record is from RNAcentral. Lineage: Eukaryota; Metazoa; Chordata; Actinopteri; Salmoniformes; Salmonidae.
CCUCUGUCUCUUUCCUCCUCUCAGUAGAAACUAAACCAGGUUACUGUGAACCUCCUGUAUUCUCUGUCCUCUUCUCAGUAGAAACUAAACCAGGUUCCUGUGAACCUCCUGUAUCCUCUGUCCUCCUCUCAGUAGAAACUAAACCAGGUUCCUGUGAACCUCCUGUAUCCUCUGUCUCUUUCCUCCUCUCAGUAGAAACUAAACCAGGUUACUGUGAUCCUCCUGUAUCCUCUGUCCUCCUCUCAGUAGAAA